CGAACGUGCGUAGCCUGCGCAUUGGUCUGGUCGUCGGCGUCGGUCGAAUCGCGGGGUGCGGGGUCCUGCGAGAUCGAAUCGGGGAGCUUCCGUAUCGAAGUCGGAGGCCGCGGGGCACAAUGCCGGGAUGGCGGAGGCGGCGCCAUGGCGAGGGGCAUAGCGCGGGCGUCGUCGUUCGGGGGCCGCGCCACCACCCCGUGGUGCUCCUGCAGGCACGUCACCGUGGAUGUCUGCCUCGGCAAACUCGUCGCCGCUCUGCUCGUGCUCCGCUCCCUCACCGCCCCCGCCCCCCGCUUCCUUCGCGCCCACCUUUCCCAACCAUUAGUUCCUAGCUAGUCCACUGAAAUAAUUCAAAGGUAAAAGAAGCUGCGGAAGAAAUUCGCACGGCAGAAGCGACGGGAGGAACUGCGGUUGGUGCCGCAGCAGAAGGUUUCUUAUGAUAUUGUACGGAAGUUGCUGGACUUGGGAGAUAACAGCAGCCUCGCGUAGCAGAGAGGACCGCAGGAGUGGUGGAACUAUGGCGUGUUGAGAAGUUAAAAGGCAUCAAAGUUGCAUCUACUUGGAAUCAAUCAAAUUUGGACCUAUCUAGUGAGGAAAUCAGAAUUUUCAAACGAGCCAAGGCAUAUGCUUCUGGAGGCCAUUGGCCUUUGGAUACCAGGGGAAGUCACACGUACUGUACUGUCUGUACAUGAUGAUAAACGUGAAAAUGAACCAGAAGAAGAAGAGAUAGUAGCAGGUCCACCCUUGUCCCGACAAUGUAAUGCUGAGCUCCAUACAGAUUAUGAUGGUGCCGCUGUUAGAUGGGAUUAACGCACCACAAAGAAUAUGUUGCUGAUUGUUGUCAAGCUUGUCUUGAUCAAGCUACGAACGCCAAGCCAGGGGAAUUGAAGUGCAAUAUAUGGGUUUAUUGCCCAUCGGAAUUUGGAUGCUUCUGACAAGACAAAUAUGAGCAUAAACAUCAGGAGUGCUGGUUGAAACAGGCUGACCACCCCAAACUGAACUUCAAAGACAAGUUAAGUAUUCAGAGCCUUACAAGAUGCUCGUCCCAAUGCACCUGUUGUCGUGCCGUGGAUGUCUGGUGUCACCUGUGCUUGCACUACCUCUUACCAAACGAACAGCAUCGAGACUCAGGAAUUAAUUAGACUAGUGCUGUGCUGAUCCAACCAGUUCCACCGUACAUAUUUUUUCUUUUCAUUUUGGGAAUAUACUCUUUUCUUUUUCUUCGUUUGGCCCCGGUAUAUACGAUGUAAAAGUAAAACUUAGCUUAGUCAACCUGGCAAUUGGAUUUGGUGGGUGGUGGUUGAUUG
This is a long non-coding RNA of Zea mays, 1307 nucleotides long. RefSeq lists it as uncharacterized. The record is from RefSeq and is marked validated. The transcript has 6 exons. NCBI's taxonomy places the organism in Eukaryota, Viridiplantae, Streptophyta, Magnoliopsida, Poales, Poaceae.